RNAcentral lists this ribosomal RNA (460 nucleotides) under uncultured bacterium. RNAcentral's name for it is "partial 16S ribosomal RNA". It matches the Rfam family "Bacterial small subunit ribosomal RNA", at positions 338 to 795 of the family's 1533-position model. The record is from RNAcentral.
CCUACGGGAGGCAGCAGUGAGGAAUAUUGGUCAAUGGUCGGGAGCCUGAACCAGCCAAGUCGCGUGAGGGACGACGGUCCUAUGGAUUGUAAACCUCUUUUGUCGGGGAACAAAGGCGCCCACGGGUGGGCGGAUGAGUGUACCCGAAGAAAAAGCAUCGGCUAACUCCGUGCCAGCAGCCGCGGUAAUACGGAGGAUGCGAGCGUUAUCCGGAUUUAUUGGGUGUAAAGGGCGUGUAGGCGGGCAUGCAAGCCAGAAGUGAAAGCUGGGGGCUUAACCCCCAAACGGCUUUUGAAACUGGGUGUCUUGAGUGAUGGAGAGGCAGGCGGAAUUCCCAGUGUAGCGGUGAAAUGCGUAGAUAUUGGGAGGAACACCAGUGGCGAAGGCGGCCUGCUGGACAUUAACUGACGCUGAGGCGCGAAAGCAUGGGGAGCAAACAGGAUUAGAUACCCUAGUAGUC